AAGAGGAGGAGAGGCACCUACAAGUCGUCCAUAUGCAUGGCCGCCGCCGCCACCACCAGCUCCUCCCAUCGAGUCUCACACCCACUCAUACUUGUGUGCAUUCAAAGUUCUAUCAAGCCAUAUUACAUAUAUAUGUAUAUUUCCUGUCGUCGUUGCUCUCUUUUUGUGGAUGAACAGACGUGAAGGAACACUCGCCUCUCUCCUCUCCUCUCAUUCCCUCCCCACCCACUUCCACACACACACACACACAAAUGAAGAACAGGAAAAACGGGAUGGAGAGGACGACAGCAUACAUCACCUUCACAUCGUUCUUGCGUUCUCCUUCGACUUGAGUGCGCGUUUCCGUGAAGGCUGUCUGCGGGCGCGUUGCAGCGCAAAGGGUGUGCAGGUGAUCGAUGAGGGUUUCGUCUCCCCUGUUGCUCGCCCCAUCUCUCCUCCUUUUCGGCGCAUCAGACCACAUCCUCGCCACUUCAUCCGUCGUUCAGUGUCCACACGUCUGCGGACACAUGCGCGCGCGCGCGUGUGUGUGUGUGUGGGGGGGGGGGGGGGGGAAGGGGUCUGGUCAUAGCAGAGACUGAGACGUUGGAGCAGAGAAAAGACAACGGGGCAGCGGCUCUCCCCAGCCGCCGCCCUCUCCUCUCGUCCUGCCAUUUUCAUUGAGCGCAUCCCAGGGGGUGGGGCUUGUGUGCCCGCUGUGGUUGCCCCACCCAAUCAUUCACUACCCACUGCCCACACGCACACGCAUGUUCACGUGCUUUGUUGUCGGCUGCCGCUCUUCGCAUGCACUCGACUGCUAUGGUGCCCUUGCGGUCUCUCUCCUCUCUCUCUGUCGCCACCAGGUAUGGAGGAGAGGGCAUAUGCCGCUCAUGAACCGUCUUUCUUCUUCUUCUGUCUUCACAACUGGCCAUGGCAUCCUCCUUUCUCUCGUGUCAAACACAUUGCUGUGAUAACACACACCUACCCAUCUCCACGCUCAUAUAUACACAUGUGCACGUCCACAUACACACACAUGACAAG
This 1017-nucleotide unclassified non-coding RNA is filed under the name Leishmania donovani. Its description in RNAcentral is "gene:unknown". The record is from RNAcentral. Lineage: Eukaryota; Euglenozoa; Kinetoplastea; Trypanosomatida; Trypanosomatidae.